This 429-nucleotide ribosomal RNA is filed under the name uncultured bacterium. RNAcentral describes it as "bacterial SSU rRNA". It matches the Rfam family "Bacterial small subunit ribosomal RNA", at positions 33 to 507 of the family's 1533-position model. The record is from RNAcentral.
AACGACGCUGGCGGCAGGCUUAACACAUGCAAGUCGAGCGCCCCGCAAGGGGAGCGGCAGACGGGUGAGUAACGCGUGGGAAUCUACCCAUCCCUACGGAACAACUCUGGGAAACUGGAGCUAAUACCGUAUACGCCCUUUGGGGGAAAGAUUUAUCGGGGAUGGAUGAGCCCGCGUUGGAUUAGCUAGUUGGUGGGGUAAUGGCCUACCAAGGCAACGAUCCAUAGCUGGUCUGAGAGGAUGAUCAGCCACACUGGGACUGAGACACGGCCCAGACUCCUACGGGAGGCAGCAGUGGGAAUAUUGGACAAUGGGCGCAAGCCUGAUCCAGCCAUGCCGCGUGAGUGAUGACGGCCCUAGGGUUGUAAAGCUCUUUCACCGGUGAAGAUAAUGACGGUAACCGGAGAAGAAGCCCCGGCUAACUUCGUG